CUUACGACUCUCGGCAAUGGAUAUCUCGGCUCUCGCAUCGAUGAAGAACGUAGCGAAAUGCGAUACUUAGUGUGAAUUGCAGAAUCCCGUGAAUCAUCGAGUCUUUGAACGCAAGUUGCGCCCGAAGCNUCGGCCAAGGGCACGUCUGCCUGGGCGUCGCAA
Molecule: ribosomal RNA, 162 nt
Filed under: Ephedra minuta
Lineage: Eukaryota; Viridiplantae; Streptophyta; Gnetopsida; Ephedrales; Ephedraceae
Description: 5.8S ribosomal RNA
Rfam family: 5.8S ribosomal RNA
About the family: 5.8S ribosomal RNA (5.8S rRNA) is a component of the large subunit of the eukaryotic ribosome. It is transcribed by RNA polymerase I as part of the 45S precursor that also contains 18S and 28S rRNA.
Source: RNAcentral